GACGAACGCUGGCGGCGUGCUUAACACAUGCAAGUCGAACGGAAAGGCCCUGCUUGCAGGGUGCUCGAGUGGCGAACGGGUGAGUAACACGUGGGUGAUCUGCCCCUUACUUUGGGAUAAGCCUGGGAAACUGGGUCUAAUACUGGAUAGGACCAUGCUGUAGGUGGUGUGGUGGAAAGAUUAGUUUCGGUAAGGGAUGAGCUCGCGGCCUAUCAGCUUGUUGGUGGGGUAAUGGCCUACCAAGGCGUCGACGGGUAGCCGGCCUGAGAGGGUGGACGGCCAAAUUAGGACUGCGAUACAGCCCCAACGCCUACGGGAGGCAGCAGUGGAGAAUAUUGCACAAUGGGCGCAAGCCUGAUGCAGCGACGCCGCGUGGGGGAUGACGGCCUUCGGGUUGUAAACCCCUUUCAGCCAUGACGAAGCCCUUGUGGUGACGGUAGUGGUAGAAGAAGCACCGGCUAACUACGUG
This 469-nucleotide ribosomal RNA is filed under the name uncultured bacterium. Its description in RNAcentral is "partial 16S ribosomal RNA". It matches the Rfam family "Bacterial small subunit ribosomal RNA", at positions 28 to 507 of the family's 1533-position model. The record is from RNAcentral.